Molecule: transfer RNA, 71 nt
Filed under: Loxodonta africana (African savanna elephant)
Lineage: Eukaryota; Metazoa; Chordata; Mammalia; Proboscidea; Elephantidae
Rfam family: tRNA
About the family: Transfer RNA (tRNA) molecules are approximately 80 nucleotides in length. Their secondary structure includes four short double-helical elements and three loops (D, anti-codon, and T loops).
Source: Rfam by way of RNAcentral
GCCCUGAUGGCUCAAUGGUUAAGCACUCGACUGCUAAUUGAAAGGUUGGUGGUUUCAGCCCACCCAGUGCC